UACGAGGGGUGCAAGCGUUGCUCGGAAUUAUUGGGCGUAAAGGGUAGGUAGGUGGUCUCGUUUGUCUGGGGUGAAAGCCUUGAGCUUAACUCAAGAAGUGCCCUAGAAACGGCGAGACUCGAGUCCUGGAGAGGGUCGUGGAAUUCCCGGUGUAGCGGUGAAAUGCGUAGAGAUCGGGAGGAACACCAGAGGCGAAGGCGGCGACCUGGACAGGUACUGACACUCAACUACGAAAGCGUGGGGAGCAAACAGG
RNAcentral lists this ribosomal RNA (253 nucleotides) under uncultured bacterium. RNAcentral describes it as "partial 16S ribosomal RNA". It matches the Rfam family "Bacterial small subunit ribosomal RNA", at positions 524 to 776 of the family's 1533-position model. The record is from RNAcentral.